Molecule: long non-coding RNA, 714 nt
Filed under: Monodelphis domestica (gray short-tailed opossum)
Lineage: Eukaryota; Metazoa; Chordata; Mammalia; Didelphimorphia; Didelphidae
Description: lncRNA (ENSMODG00000038071.1)
Source: RNAcentral
GGUGAGGGACGGAUAGGGGGAUGAGAGAGAAACAGGACCAAGCUCUAGUUUCAAGGUAUGGAGGUAGAGAUUCUCUCCAUGGACUCCAAGUGCCCCAUUCUUACCCCUUCCUGGAGCCAAAUCAUCAGUACAAUAGGUCUCGUGGUUAAUUAGUACUUGUACUCUGACCCUAAGAUAUAACCUUUUCUGAUAAAACCUAUCAAUAAGGGCAGCUCACAGACAGGUGGCCCUCAGUCCUCGUAGCAGGCACCUCAACUUCUCAACACAAAGGUCAGAGGAAGAAGAGAACAGAACAUAGAAAUGAAAAGGUUGAUCCUACUAGCCAGUUUAGCUAUUCUACUGUUCCAAGAGGUCCAUGGGGCCUCCAAAUACAAGGUCUUAAUGAAUGCCAAAAGAAGGGGCGGCUUCUCUGAAGAGAACACUAAUGAACAAUUGAAUUUGGGCCAAAAGGCUAUUGGACAACCAGAAAAAGACAACAUUCUCUUUGAACCCAUGCCCAAACUGGAGCUUUUCACAGAUCGGGAGAAAAAGCAAGAUCCCUUGAGACAUCUCCGAAAUCCAGUGCAAUUACCUGAGGAAGACAGAGAUUCCUUCUACCACCCAAGUUCCAUAGAGGAUGUCAUUGAAGAACCCAAAAUGCUGAAGACAUUUCAUUAUAAAGUGCUACAGGGGCCAGAAGAGGACAGAGACCAUAUCUACCAUGGUGUAGAUUAA